This is a long non-coding RNA of Lycium barbarum (goji berry), 7615 nucleotides long. RefSeq lists it as uncharacterized. The record is from RefSeq and is a predicted model, not a curated record. NCBI's taxonomy places the organism in Eukaryota, Viridiplantae, Streptophyta, Magnoliopsida, Solanales, Solanaceae. The transcript is spliced from 6 exons.
UCCACAACACCCAAGUACCCGACCUAAUCAUAUUGAGUUUAAAUUAUAUAUUCUACAGUUAAAAGAAAUUUACACAAUCAUAUAAUUAGUUGUUAUAAUAACAAAUAAUCUAUCUUAUUUUUAAUAUUAUAAAUUCAUAUAUUUCUGAUUGACUUGAUAAUGUACAGAAAUUUUACAGUAUUGACCUAGAUAACUUACGCUCAAAUUUAAGUAAAACACAAGCGUGAUUUUUUUAAGAGAAUCUGGAUUGGUGUGACUCAACGUGAAUAUUGGACGCAGACUAUUGAUCCUUCUUUGCAGACGCGGGAAUCCUCUCGUCAUGACUGAUGCUUCAGCUUCAGAUCACUUCGAUGACUUGCAGAAACGGAUAAUUUUUUGGUGCCUGCUUGCAUUUCCUCUCCGUGGGAAGUUUUCUGCCUUCUGAAAUUUGCAGAUCUUGCGGACACGUGAGUCCUCGCCUUUGUUUUACAGUUGCGCUCCCCACCAUCUUUGCUGGCGUCAAGCGAAGAACCUGUUGGAACACUCACAUCACGUGACGAGACCUUGGAGUCACCCAUUUCAAUACUUAAGUUGCCAAAAUAGCUAAUCUUUUGCUAUAUGCUGGGAUCUCCUGUCUCUGGGCUUUACCAGUUGCACGCCUCUUGAAAUUCACAGGGAAGUCCUUGCUUUUGUUGUUUGAAGAUCACGGUCAGCACCUUUGCAAGCGUCAUGGCAAGAACCUUGUGGACCAUUCAGAUAACGUGACAAGACCUUGGAUUUAGCAAUUUGAAUGCCUAAGCUGCCAGUUGAGUUCCUUCUCAAAAAGCGAACUUCCCGCUCAAUUCUCUCCAGAUGUGCAGACACUUGAGGUGAUAUGAUCCUUCUUGGCACAUUUCACUUCAAGACAUCCACCUGAGGCCAAGUCAUGGAACUUCAAACUCUACAAGCGGCGAAAUUGACAAGGAUGGCAUGGAAGGCCUUAAGAGGCUCCUACAAGCCACAUAAGAUGGCUUACGAUACGUGGAAGGUAGCUUGGGCGAGGCUUGGAGAAGAAGCUACUAGAAAGGAGGCCUAUAACUCAAAAGUGGCUAGAAGUGCAAAGGGGUAGAAAUGCAAAUGUGGCUAGACGUGCAAAAGAAGGGACAUAGAUGCAAAUGGUCACAAUUGCAAGCUUUGAGGAUUGGAUGAUGGCUAUAUGUGCAAGACGGAGUCUUUUCAAGUUUCAAGCCAACAUCCAACUAGCCGAACAAGGCCCUUGCCAUAUUAAGGGCAAUAAUGUAAUAGUUAGGUUUCUUUUUAUUUCCUAGAAGUAUAAGUAGGAGGAUGAACCUCAUUUACACUUAGACUUUGAUGAUGAAUAUUUGAGAGAUACUCAUAUUUUGAGUGAUAGAUUGUUAGGUAGAAUCUAGUGUUAGUUUAGUCAUAUAAUGGUGGAUUCCAUUGUUGGUUGUAGAACCUUUUAUUUCCAGUGAAUUCAUGAAGAUUGUUCAUUUGUGGAUUUCAAGUGAACUUCUUACCUUGAUUCAUAUUGCUUUAGUUCUUUGGUUGAAUUCAAAAUAGGAGGGUCUAGGUUUUAUAUACUUAGAUUUGCCUAUAGGAUUCAUUACCAGUUGGGUCAAGUACCUAUCAUUCUAUCUUCUUAUCUUCAAUUCUCAUCCCAAUUUCUUGUUAUCCUUUAGUUCCGUGUUUUAGUGUUGAAUUGGUGUUUUCCCCCAAUUCAAAUCGUAUCAUUUGGUAUCAGAGUAAGGUAGAAGGAUCAUUCCAUUGAUUCUUCAAUCCUUGAUCUAGAAAAGUAAAAAAAAAAAAUGAAAAUCAGGGUUUUGAUGUUUGUUUGUUGGAUUUGAGGUUGAAUCUGUGUUUAUUGCUAUCUAAAAUCUCUAAAUCCGAAGUUUGGAGUGGUUUGGUGAAGAUUGAAGCAUUUCACCAUUGUUAGGGUUUUGAAGCUCUUAAAGAACUUGAAAAAAAAGGGUGUUCUUCGAUUUUGAGUUGGAAUUGAGUAUUGUUGAGGCUAGAUUUGAACUUAUUGGCAUCAAAUCUAGUAGGAUACAAAGUUUGGAGGCAUUUGGAAAGGGGUUUGUAGUUUUUACCAUUGAAGACUUACAAAGAACUUGAAGAACUUUAAAUGGAUCUUCAAAUUUAGGGUUAAAUUGAAGCUAAUUGAGUGUUAAAUCUUCUUCUUUAGGUGAAGGGGAUCCUAGAUCUAAAAGUUGGUGGAAGAACAAGAAGAUUUGAAGGGGUUUUGAAUUUGGGUGUUAUUGGUGUUCUUGAGGGUAUUCAUAUCUUCAUAAGGAAGAAGGUGACCAAAAGGUGGGUUUGAUCCAAAAGAAUUUUCCCAAAGUGAGAAAAAGUGUUUUUCUAACCUAAAAAGGAAAAUACUAGGUUGUGUGGGGCCAAAAGAAGAUCCUGAAAUCAGAAUUUUAGCUCAAGUUUCGAGAAUACAAGUUACAAAUUCAUGAAAUAUUGAAGUAUUAUAUGGUCAAUACGGACCGUAUAAAUUAUACGCCCAUAUUUCUCAAGAGUGAAAUUGCACACGAGGAAUUGAACCUACUGUUGCUGAUUUACGGUCCCAAUUGACGGACUGUCAAUAAUUUACGGUCUGUAUAUGACACAAGUCCCAAUCGUAGAUUUCAACUGUAAAACGAGAUACAAAGCAUAAAACGCAUUCUGUGAGUGCGAUCUAUACUUCCACUUGAGGGCCCCUAACGGACCUUUGCAAGAUCAUAUUACAUGCCAUAAACAACCUGUAUGCAAAGCCACGACCUCUAGAUGUACCCGCAUUUACCCGAAAUUGCAUUGCAAGUUUGUUCUUCAACCCGGUUUCACUUCAUUUUUAGUUCUAAGUUCCGUUAGGUAUUUGUUCAUCCUUCCUUGAUCUUCCAAGCUAAUUAACACUAGUAAUUGACCUUACUUAGUUGUUGAGUCCGAAUUUCUUUCGUGCCAAUUCUUUUCAAGCUUUUCUCAUUUUAACCUCGUUGAAUUUUCUUGGCUCAAGUCCUUUUGCUUUAUCGAGUCGUCCGUCUUUCGAUUAACAAGAAUCUAUUUCUCCACAAAGGUUAGCAAUCUUGUGAAUUGAAUCAGAUUAAAAGGGUUCUUGACCAACCUUGGAAGAAUCUUAGGUUGAGAGGUAAGUUUGAGUGCAAAUACGAGUGAUGUAAGGAGCUUUUGCUACUAAUCUUGUUUGCUCGUUUUGUAGGUACACGAAGAGGAGACAUAAGGAGAAGGAGAGAUAGGGAUGUCAUCCAUAGCGUCCGAGUCUUGUGGAGAUGAUUUUGAAGGUUAUGCCUCUAGCAUUGGAAGGUAUAACUAUGAUGAAUAUGGGGGCUAUGAAGAAGAUGACAUUGUAUAUGAGCAUCACUAUUCUUACGAUGAAUAUGAUAGUAAUGGUGCUCAUAGACCGAAUGAAGAAUAUGGUCGAUAUGAUCAUAACCCUUAUGAGGGUGAAUAAUACUACUCCGAGGGCAAUUGUGAGGCAACACCUCAUGAGGCUUAUGAAGAAGAAGGAGUAGAUGAGUAUGAAGAAGAGUCCUAUAGUGGAUACGAACAUGAAGAGUCUCAGCCUACACACCAUGGACAUAGGGUUGAAUUGAGGUAUGCUCCUUCCUCACACUUUUGUUAUGAACUACUUGGUGAGAACUUUCAAGAAUGGGAAGAAUGUGGUGAUGAUGAGCCUAGUGGCUAUGCACUUCAUGGUGAGUAUGCUUGUGAAGAUAAUGGAAUUGCAUAUAAUUCUUAUGAGGGGUCUUCUAAUAGAUAUUCACGUGCAUCGCCUUGUAAGACUUCCUAUUCCAAGCAAAAUGGUAUAAGUGUGUGAAUUGGUCCGAGUAGGAGUAGUCCGAGGAGGAGAAGAGAUUAUACAUUUCCUAAUCCGAGAAACACGAUGAACUAUGGUUCUUAUCCUAAUCCGGAGAUGCCAUGUUCUUAAUAUGGUUAUGGUGUGGAGGGUAGGAGGAGAGAAGUGUUGACGAGAGGUGACCAACUUGUUGGUUAUGGAAGUUCUUGUGGCGACUACUCAAAUCCGACAUCUCAUCCUAGUGCAAAGGUUGUAAUGACUAAUCAAAAAAGUCGGAUUCAAAAGAAGGAGAGCUUGUCCGUGGAGGACACAAAAUUAAUCCUUAAGAGGCUAUCAGUGGAGAUGGCAAAAAUGGAUAAAAUAUUAGAUGGGAUGGGGGGAGAGAUUAGAGAGAAUGGAUGGAAGGGGGCUAAAUAAGAGUCUGAGUCUUGUUGGGAACCCAUAAGGCUCACAUCAAGAGCCUAACCUAGUUCACCACCAAAUUAAUCCUCCCCAAAGAAUGCUUGCCACUUGUCCCAACUCCAAUAAAAUUGAGAGAGAAAAGAUUGAGAGGAGCAAGGGAGUGAAAAGUGACAACUCUAGAGAGAAAAAAUGAGAGAAUGUGAGGAGUGAUGUGAGGGAGUUGUCACAACCUUUAUCUAAUCCUUGUGACUUUUCUUUCUUCUCUAGUGGUCUUAAUGAUAGUGUAGGUAUUCUUGGGAGCAAGUCGGAUGAUGAAUCUCAACCUUUAAAGGUUCUUGAGGUAGUUGAGAGCUCCCCGGAGGAGCAAACGAGCUCCAAAGUUGAAAUCCGAGGCAAAGAAAAUGAAUGCGGAUUUCAAGGUACAAUAGCUAAUCUUAACUCUCUAAGUAAUGUGAAUGACUAUGUUGUUAAAAUGAGUGUGAAUGAUAGCUUUUCCGUAAAUGAGCUUAAUGAGUCUUUGCCUUGUGAUGAGCUUAGUGCUAUAAUGACAAUUGACAAUGUAGUUGAAAUGGAUGAUCCAACACUAGCUGAUCCUAUUGAUGACUAUCUUGACUCUUCUUUUGAGUUUAAGUUGUGUCCACCUAGUAUUGAUCCUCUUGAUAUGCAUGUUAGUACAUAGUCAUGUGAAUUGUUAGUGCACCCACUAGUUGAUCCUAGCGAUGAUUGAAUUGAAUCUUCUAGCAAGGUCGAUUUGUGUCGAACUAGUAUGGGUGAUGGUAUUGGUCAACUCGCUUGUAUUGAUAGUCCACUAAUUGAGAAAUGUUAUGAUGUGCCUAAUGAAUCUCAAUUUAGUGAUAACUUUGACCAAGUUGAUAGUGAAUUUGUAUAUGACACACCACUCGUGUUUGAUACAUAUGGAGAUGAGUCCCAUGACCUUGACUUGUUGUCAUUUGUGGAGACUCAAGAUCUUAAUGGUGUUAUGUGUCAUGUAGUUAGUCAUGAGAAUGAAAAUGCCUUGAAAAAUGACUUUUGUCUUUUUGGGAGUGAGAUUGCAUGCUUUGAUCCUUCAUUGUUCAUUGAUUCUUCUCUCUUUAUAGAUAAUGCGUUAUUUGAAAUUGACAUGACUAUUGAGAGUGAUGAACCUAGUGGAGUGUUUGGUAAUGUUGAACGUUUGGUUUCCUUUGGAGACUAUAAUGUGAUAUGUAACCCACUAUGGGAUGACGACACUCUUCCCUAUGAUGGAAAUCUUCCCUUGAGGGUUUGUAACCCAAUUAUGGGGAGGGAAAGUGUUGCAAAGCAAGGUGAUUUUUGUCUAGAAAUUGCUAAUUCUUCCUUUCAUGUUCGACUUCAUAGUAGCCUAUUGGAUAAUCUUGUCCUUGAACCGUAUGGUGAGGUUACAUUGGAGAGUGAUAUUGAUGAGGAAGUUAUUUUACGUGAUACCUUUCUCUACUACUUAUUUGCAUAUGAUGACAUCCUUGAGCAUAUGGGGAGUGCAUCUUAUGUGGGAGAAGGUUCUUAUGAUCUAGCCGAUGUCAUUCUUGACCAUACUAGGUAGAUGUUCUUCCCAUUUGAUCCGGGUGACACCUUGUGUUAUUUGAGAGCACUAUCUUGGGAGAGUCCUUGUUUGAAAAAUGAGAGUGUCCUUGUUUGGACAUUGUGCUAAAUGUCAAAUAGAACCAAUGUCGAGUUGCAUAUUUCGUAGUUUGAAUCCAUUGGUUUUAUUACUCUAUCCUUAUGUCAUGAACCUUGGAGGAAUCAACUUCUUGAUAAUUCAUGUGUGCAAAUGUUAGUCAUGAUUGUCAUAGAUGUGUGGUUGUACCACAAGUUUGUUCAUCCUUGGCAUGAAUAUGUGAUUAUUGCUUUGUGUGCUAACCCUCAAUCCUUGAGGAGUAUGUUUUCGUAUGUCUUCCCUUGGGUUUUGCUAGGUUCGGAUUCGAGGACGAAUCCUUUUGAAGACGGGGAGGAUAAUAUGAUCCUACUUGGCACACUUCACUUCAAGACAUCCACCCGAGGCCAAGUCAUGGAACUUCAAACUCUAUAAGCGGUGUGGAUGACGAGGAUGGCAUGGAAGGCCUUAAGAGGCUCCUACAAACCACAUAAGAUGGCUUACGAUGUGUGGAAGGCAGCUUGGGCGAGGCUUGGAGAAGAAACUACUAGAAAGGAGGCCUAUAACUCAAAAGUGGCUAGAAAUGCAAAGAGGUAGAAAUGCAAAUGUGGCUAGACGUGCAAAAGAAGGGACAUAGAUGCAAAUGGUCACAAUUGCAAGCUUUGAAGAUUGGAUGAUGGCUAUAUGUGCAAGACGGAGUCUUUUCAAGUUUCAAGCCAACAUCCAACUAGCCGAACAAGACCCUUACCUCAUUAAGGACAAUAAUGUAAUAGUUAGGUUUCUUUUUAUUUCCUAGAAGUAUAAGUAGGAGGAUGACCCUCAUUUACACUUAGACUUUGAUGAUGAAUAUUUGAGAGAUACUCAUAUUUUGAGUGAUAGAUUGUUAGGUAGAAUCUAGUGUUAGUUUAGUCAUAUGAUGGUUGAUUCCAUUGUUGGUUGUAGAACCUUUUAUUUCCAGUGAAUUCAUGAAGAUUGUUCAUUUGUGAAUUUCAAGUGAAUUUCUUGCCUUGAUUCCUAUUGCUUUGGUUCUUUGGUUGAAUUCAAAAUAGGAGGGUCUAGGUUUCAUAUACUUAGAUUUGCCUAUAGGAUUCAUUACCAGUUGGGUCAAGUACGUAUCCUUCUAUCUUCUCAUCUUCAAUUCUCAUCCCAAUUUCUUGUUAUCCUUUAAUUCCGUGUUUUAGUGUUGAAUUGGUGUUUUUCCCCAAUUCAAAUCGUAUCAUGAGGCAGGGUCCAACUGUGCCAUUUAGACAUUUCUCGCUGAAUCAGUCAAAUUUACAAAGUCUGUGCAAUACACUCGCUGCUGAUGUGACAAAUGACGAAUAAAAUGAGGACACGCGUCUUUUUUAAUUAAAAAAACACUAUUUUAAAAUAUUUAAUAACAAAUUAAAAGUAAUACUCUCAAAAAGGAAAAAAAAACUGAUUUACACCCAAUCAGAAAAGGACACAUUAUUAACAAAAAGAAAAAGAAAGAAAGGACACGUUGAAAAUGCUGAAAUGAGCUGUUCUUGGUGCUUCACAAUCUUCAGUUCUUGUUACAAUCACGAUUUUAAUCCAAAUUUUCAAGAUAAACUCCUCCAAAUUUGUUAUAACUUCAGCUAAAGAUUCCCCACGAAGACCGAAAGACAAUCCAACAUUAAUUUCUCAAAAUUUUCAGCAAAUCAAUUAACCUAUUUUAAACCUUCAAGCUUUCUAAAGACUCCAUUAAUGGCAAGUUUUUUUUGUUUUUAAUCUUUUUGGGAUUUUUUUUUCUUUUGUGCAUUAAAUAGAUUUUUCCAAAGAAAAUUCAUCUUUCUUUUCCUGUAAACGCUUAUGGAGAGAGGGUGGUGGCGGUCUUGAUU